GUGCUGUGUUCUCUGAAUUUCAGGAUUCCAAUCCCACUUGUGCUGUCAAACAGCAAGCUGGAUGCUUUAAGCCUUGUAGUGCUAAGGGUGUGCCCUCACAGCCUGCCUUUGCUCGUAAUCAUGCACCUGGAGGCUGCCGCUGCUGUGGUUUUUCGGUGGAGUCCACGUGCUUCUAUCUUUGCGACCUUGCACAGGAAGAAACCCUGCCAGCAAAUAAUUUAUCCGUCCACCCUGGAGGAUUUGGGGCUUGGUGAUGUGAAAUGUUGAGCAGCCUCACUGACUGAUUACAGGGGCUGUAAUGACUUGUAUAGCAAAUAAUGGAUCCUGAAGGGAAGCCUGGGUUAGACUGGUGGGCUGAGAUUGCAGGGAAAAAGCACCCUCGCCCAGAAGAAUCCAGAGGGAAAGAAACGUGAAAAAGAGCGAUGAAGUCUGGUGGUAAAAGUGGAACUGAAUGAAAGGGACCAACAGAAAUGCUUUAGAUAUAUUCAUUUUGCGUUUAGGUGCUAUCAUCCUCAGAAUGUUUCUGUUUAGUAAAAGGAAAUAUAUAUAAAAAAAAGGAAAGGAUGUCACAGGAAUGACAUAGGCUAGGUUAAUGUGCCCAAAUUUUUCUGUUUUUGAAGCGCACCAUUUAUUUAAGAGUUCGCAACAGGAAUCAGUAAAAACCAGGAAGCACUGUUGUGAAGCAUGGGAUUUCAUACGAGCUUGUCCGGUGCUUUGGUACUCAGCAGGGUAAGCGAGGGAGAGCUGGGACUUGAAAACUAUGUGCUGUCAAUGGGACGUCACUGCAGGAGGGGGAGAGCAA
This 802-nucleotide long non-coding RNA is filed under the name Anas platyrhynchos (mallard). RNAcentral describes it as "lncRNA (ENSAPLG00020005021.1)". Lineage: Eukaryota; Metazoa; Chordata; Aves; Anseriformes; Anatidae. The record is from RNAcentral.